RNAcentral lists this long non-coding RNA (7009 nucleotides) under Lactuca sativa (garden lettuce). Its description in RNAcentral is "long non-coding RNA (LSAT_LNC009294)". The record is from RNAcentral. Lineage: Eukaryota; Viridiplantae; Streptophyta; Magnoliopsida; Asterales; Asteraceae.
ACUGAUCAUGGCAUAGCAUAACACAUAUCAACUAAUAUAAACACAUAUACUGCAUACUGCAUCGGGCCGAAGUCCGAAACAUAUAACACACAAACAUGCUUGAAUCACAUAGACCUCAAGCAUACUGAACUGCUGCUUCGGACUGAAGUUCGGAACUGCUACUAACUAAACGAGCCGGCAUUGUGGCCGUAGACCCGUUCCUACUGGAAGGAAACUCACCUCGUGAACUGGCUGCUGUGUGUAUGGCUCUGGAAACUAACUGCUGAUGCUCCGGUAUCUCCCCGGCUAUAAUUCCAUAACACACUCAAUCACAUGCUAAUCACUGUAUAGGGUAAAAUGACUCUUUUACCUCUGGUCAAAGUCAACUCUCCCGGUCAAAGUCAACCUACAGUUGACCUGACUCGCCGAUUUGGGCCGCCAACUCGCCGAGUCCUUAUUUUCACUUCUCAACCCUACUCGCUGCUACUCGUCGAGUAUGGCAUCAGCUCGACGAGUUCCCUUUCGAAUCUAAAACUCAGGCAAUCUGCAUCCGACUCGUCGAGUCAUAUGGACAACUCGACGAGUUGUUCUUCGAUCUAAGAAGAUUGCCUUGGACUCGCCGAGUUGUAUGAACAACUCGUCGAGUCCUUCCAUUACUGAGUCUAACCUCCAACUCGCUGAGUCCACUCUACCACUCACUAGUCCCCACUCGGCAUCACUCAAAAAGGGAAAAUCAGGGACUCGCGACUCGACUCGCCGAGUCAUUUUUCCGACUCGCCGAGUCGCUUGCAUGCAGCAACUCUAAACUUGAUUCUGCUUGAAUCCAGUGUAUAAAUCUUAUAGAUCUGGGCUCCCUUAACUCGAUUAGCAUGUAAAGAUUCUAUCUUUACGUGCCUAUAUGCAUCCAUGAAGAUAAAAUGGCUCAAAAAGCAUAAUAAAGGCUAGAUCUAGAGUUCUCAUGCAAAGUAUCUUCAAAAAGGCAAUAGAUCCGGGCUCUACAACUCCUAAAUGAACAGAUCUAAGGAUAUCUCGGCCUAUUAAGGCAUUCAUACAACUAUAGGGCUUGAAAAAUACAUCAAACUAGCCCUAGAAGUGUUCUAAUGGAAGUUUAAAGCAUAAAACAGAAGGAAAUCCGAAGAAUACCUCAAUGAACUCUGAUUUUGCCCUUGGAUCUUUGCUCUACACCUCUUCUCUUUGCUCAUUUCUUCUUCUUCUUCUUCAAGCCUUCAAAAUCCACACACAAAAGCACUUAAAACAAUAAGGGAUGGAUUAGGGUUUUCUCACAGCUCUCUGAGGGUGAAGGAGGCGAGUUUGGGGCUCAUAAGGUUGUUUAAAUAGGGUGCAACCCGGGGAUUUAGGGUUUCUUCCAGGCAGGCAGACUUGCCGAGUCCUGAAUAUGGAUUCGCCGAGUCGCCGACUAACACGUGCUCGAAAUCCCGUCCCUAUUCGGCGAGUCUGGCUAUAGAGUCGCCGAGUCCCUCAAGAAAACCUCUUAAACAAAUAUCAUGGAAGCAACAUACCAGAGACGGGGCGUUACAAUUCUCCCCCACUUGUCUCAGACUUCAUCCUCGAAGUCUGCUACGGCUGAAUCUGCAAAUAACUCCGGGUAGUGCUUUCUCAUCUCCUCCUCAGCCUCCCACGUCCACUCAGACCCCUUCCGGUGCUGCCACUGCACCUUCACUAACUGAAUCUCCUUCUCUUUUUCAUAAUUUCCUCAACGUUGCUUCCUCCGACUAAAAAUUUUGUUCCCCUCAUCCGCCUACCGGAUGCACUGAGACUACCCUGGUCUAACUAAUCUGCCGAUAUCUGAGUUACUGGACUCCCACCGGUCACUACACCCCAUCGCAAUCUCCUAGUCGCUCCCAGCGACUCCGGAAGAUACUUCGACUAUCUAUAUCUGUUCUAUCCAUUCUGCCAUCCAUACUGAAUCGAUGCUACUGGAACCAGCCUACUUAUCUCUCAUUUGACUACUAACUCGAGCCUUCCAUCCUAAAAGAAAAGCUACCUGCCUAGUUAUCCUUACAGAUCGCUUAUACUUGGCAGAAAGCUCAACUGAUCCUGCUGAGAGCGACUUGCCAUUUUCAAAUCAACCAACUAUACUGUCAGCACUUGCAUUCCAACACAAAUACUAAUACUGUCCAAAACUCUGAAGCUAUCCAAACACUGAACUGCCUGCAAUACUGAACAUGCCUGAAGCACUGAGCUGCCCGAAACACUGAACUGACUGAAGCACUGAACUGCCCGAAACACUGAACUACCUGAUGCACUGAACUGACUGAAACACUGAGUCCCAACUCAACUGUGGAGUCAAAGGACUCCUUACUUAGUCGCUCCCACGACUUCUGAACGAAAUCUUUCUCUGGAACUAGUUUCCACUAGCUAUCCUGUUACUGUUGUUCUAACAACCUUCCGAUCCAAUCGAUCGGACCCAUACGUCACAUCCUGACAUCAACAAUUCCACGACUAACAAUAUGAUGGCUCCCAGACUGACGGUAGCCCUUAACGUACACGAACCCCAACGGUCCACUACUACUCUGAUCUCAUAACUGAGGUGACAAUCUACUGACAAAUCGCCCACUUAACCAUAACUAAACCAUUUGGGAAAUCCAGAAUCUAACCCGUGGAUUCCCAUAUCCUCUCUACUGCACCCGAACUGGUGGGUACUACUGCUUUCCCGCGUCCAACAACGCGCUCAUGCUGCCUGCCAAUCUGAUAAAGGCUGCGGCUACGCUCGCGGACUUACAACUCUUCUAAUACUAUGUGGCUGCUAGUGAAUGCUACGGCUACCCCCGCAGACUUACAACACCACUACUACUAUCUGACUGCUAGUGAAUGCUACGGCUACCCCCGCAGACUUACAAUCACUACUACUACUAUCUGACUGCUAGUGAAUGCUACGGCUACCCCCGCAGACUUACAACACUCUACUACUAUCUGACUGCUAGUGAAUGCUACGGCUACCCCCGCAGACUUACAACACUCUACUACUAUCUGACUGCUAGUGAAUGCUACGGCUACCCCCGCAGACUUACAACACUCUACUACUAUCUGACUGCUAGUGAAUGCUACGGCUACCCCCGCAGACUUACAACACUCUACUACUAUCUGACUGCUAGUGAAUGCUACGGCUACCCCCGCAGACUUACAACACUCUACUACUAUCUNNNNNNNNNNNNNNNNNNNNNNNNNNNNNNNNNNNCUCUACUACUAUCUAACUGCCAGUGAAUGCUAUGGCUACCCCCGUAGACUUACAACACUCUGCUAUUAUCUGAGGACAUCCUGACCAUCCCUAGACCUGCUAGUGAUUCCUCAUCCUAAUUUCUCAAAACCCGCCCUCAGUCUUUGAAUACUGCAUCAUCCUCAACAUCUUAUAUCCUUGAUAUACUUAGCGCUUCGUUGAGGAGCUCUUCGGCUUGGUUCCCAAACCAACCGUCUACUAAUCCGGAUACAAGAAGCUAUUGCUGGGAAGUUUCCAAACUCCCAACUCCUGAAUCUACACAAUCCUGCAUGCUGACUCUGUCACUGGCUACUAAUACGAAAACAUCUCUUGCUAACCGUUCUCAGAAUCCUUAUUCCGACUCACCUGAUCCCUACGGUGGUCCUCCAAUCCUGGAUCCCCAACCAACUUCUAACCAUCUUGAUUACAUGAACUAACCGCUGGGAAGGUCCUCGGACUCACAAUUCUGAACUUCUCAAUCCAUCAAUCACUGUGCUACUAUCAUUUCUUCUCAGAGGCCGGGCACUUAUUCUGGAUCUACGUGGCUCUUAUCCUUGUAUACUCGGAGGGUUCUCCCUCACUUCGAUCCUGCUAGUGCCCUACAGCACACAAAACUGGAAGAAUUCCCAAUCCUUCUCACCACCCAUGACCAAUCUGCUAGAAACCACACUUACCAUUGCUAGUGUUUCAACACUAGCUAAUCCAAAAGAUCACACAACUCUAAAAAUUCGAAUAAAUUUCCGGUAAUAACCCGCUAAACCCAGGAAACUCCGAAUCUCAAUUGGAGACCAUCGGAAUGUCCCACUUUAUCACGGCCUCUAUCUUGGCCGGAUUGACUAGAAUAUCCUUCCGAUUGACGAGGUACCCCAAGAAAUUGCACCCCGUGCAACCAGAACUCACGAUUAAAGAACCUUGCGAAAAUUCUCUUCCUCCUCAAAGUCUCUAGCACUUCCCGCAGGUGCUUCUCGUGCUGCUCCUCAGUCUUGGAAUAAACCAAGAUGACGCUGUACUUUCCCAAUCCCAUAAUCUGGGGGAUUGCUCUAUCACUAUUCACUAAUGCUUCUCGGCAUGCAUUUGGCAUAUGACAUCUCUUGAAAAUGUAAUUCAGACACGAACCGAGGAUAACACAGGGUUACACUUACUCAACCCUUGGAACAAAAGGUCCCCUUGUGCAGUUUCCCACAAGUGCUGCACCGAUUCUGACCCCGCUGGCCUCUCAGAAGCUGAUAUAAAAUCUACAGUCUCCUCCCGAGACCCCUUUACUAUAAGCAACUGAUCUGGUUCCCUCUUAACAAUGUGCUCUAAGUCAAUAUCCCGCUCUCGAGCUCUAGAAGUCAUAUCAUUCAAGGUCUUGCACUCCGAGACACUCACAAUCUCCCUGCUAUCAUUCUACAAUAUGUUCUGAUAACUUACUUUCUUCGUUUCCUCAUCUGUUGCAUACUGUGGUGCCAUAUAAGCUCUUUCCUGAGACUUGUUAGUGACCUCUACCACAAUCUUAGUCGUCUAGUGGAGAUCUAACAACUCUUGCGCCAACUGCUGCGCCUCAAUCACUUGGGCACACUAUGCCCAUAAUCUGGUUUGGAAGUCAUCUCAUGACAUAACAUCAACCACGUCAUCACUCAACUCACUACCAACCUCUUCCUAUCAAUCUCUUGCUCUAUCCCUCAGGAGAUAGGAAGUAAGUCAGAUCUUGUCUCCUUUCGAGACAACAUCUGGUACGAAAUGUGUUGGCAACAUCUGCCAACCAUCUGCCGCUAACAAUGGGGUCCCUAACCCCCUGACAAUCUGAAGCCUCACAAACUGUGAAUUGCCGAAACAUCAACGUACGGGUCUCUAUCAUGACUACUGUCUCAGUGCAAAAUGAACUCGGCCUCUCAUCAUAAAUCUCCAUAAUGCCCUCCUUGAUCACACUGAGGAUCACAGGAGUCUGGUCAGUGAUAGUGCGCAAAAUUCUCAAAUGAAAUGAACUCUCUCAUCUGAUCAUCAAUCUGCCUGACUCCAGAGUCCGAGCCUGAUCCCUUGUCGACACCAGAACUACCAUCUGGUCUACCACGUAGCGUCACUAUACUCGGCAACAUGCCGUCACUAACAUCACAAUACUCACCAAAUCUCGAGGGAUCUCACACACUACUGCUGAGGGAUCUCUCACACCCUCUACUAGUUCCCUGGUUUUGCCUUGGCCCCUCUUGAAUCGAGUACGGAUCCUCUGCUUUCAGUAGUACGGGCCCAUACUACCUUCCACAUCUAUCCGUACUUUCCUCAAGAGUUACCUCAACUCCACCAAGUCCCCUUUUCUCUACUACUGAUCGCUGCUACUCUCAUCCUAGGCGUGCCCUAGGGAACCUCUAACUCUAUCCAAACAGUCCUCAGCUGCUAAAGGCCUCCUUGUAAUGCCAAUUAGCCACCACCUGAAUACCAUCACAUGUGACGAGGCUCAGAUAAUCCUUCAAGUAAAAGACUCGUCCCUACAACGGUUGGACUCAAACAAGAGCUACACAAUAGGGUCAAAUCCAGCACUCUGAGAUUAUUCAACCCUGAUCACAUGUGGUGUGACGUAUUCACCUAAUGGCUAACUCCCAUCACUCAGAGUCCCACAAAGCACAAAGCAAGCAGCAUUCGGAUAAAGGAAACAUACUCAGGCAAAACUAUUCUCAUAACAAGAAACUGUACUAGCAUACAAUGCUAAGCUCAUACUAUCAGGCAUAACCUACACAGGCUAUCCUACUACUGUCUACUCANUGCAAUACUCAUAAAGCUUAAACACAUAUAGCAGGCAAAUACGGCAUCCUCCUAGAUCCUUAGUCCUAUACUAGCAUGCUGUUCUACUGAAACUGAAACUGAAACUAGAACUAAAACUGAAACUGAACUAAUAAACUUGUAUAGGUAAUUUGGAAGUACUUACUUGAGCUCGGCUGAUCGCAUGCACCACACCCUUUUCUCUUUAAAAAAAUUCCUUUCUUUCUAAGUGCUUUCAAAAUUCUUUAGAAAACAUUUUCCUUUUAAAAAUCUUUUUAUUUUCCCCUUAGUUUGAGUUCAGAUACACCCGGAAGUGCAUCCGAAUCCCUCAAACAAAGGCUUUGAUACCAACUUGAAACGACCCAAAAAUACUACCCAAAAAUUUCAUUUUUAAUAUAACCAAAAACCAUAAAUCUGAGUAUCACAUAAUAAAAACCAUAAUAAAAUACUGUGAAAAAGAUGUAUCACAACUGUAUCCAAACAUAUCAAAAGCUGAAUCAACUCCCAGGACAAAACUAAACUGUGGUGUGUGCGAUGCCAUCAUCCCGAGCUCUUCCCUUUGCUUGCGGAAGUACCUGAAACCAAAACUGAAACUGUAAGCACGAAGCUUAGUGAGCUCCCCCAAACUACCACAUACCAUACAAUACAUAUAAAGCACAUACUGGGCCUUGCCCACUGACUGGGACCCCGUCCCCUGCAUCGGACCGAAGUCCGGACUAACUGUCUGGGACCCCGUCCCCUGCAUCGGACCGAAGUCCGAAAACUGACUGGGACCCCGUCCCCUACAUCGGACCGAAGUCCGAAACUGACUGGGACCCCGUCCCCUACAUCGGACCGAAGUCCGAAACUGACUGGGACCCCGUCCCCUGCAUCGGACCGAAGUCCGGACUAACUGAACACAGCAUAGCAUAACAUAUCAACUAGCAUAAACACAUAAAUCCUGUCUGAGCCACGGAGGCGUCAAACAUACUAACUACUGCAUUGGACCGAAGUCCAGAAACUACUGCUAACUGAACGGGCCGGCAUUGUGGCCUUAGACCCGUUCCUACUGGAAGGAAACUCACCUCGUGAACUGGC